UCUAUGAUUUGGGUUUAGGGUAUAGGUUUUGGGUUUAGGAUUUACGGUUUAGGUUUAGGAUUUACUGUUUGGACUUAUGGUUAAGGUUUUGGGUUUAGGGUAUAUAAUUUGGGUUUAAGGUUUACGGUUUAGCUCUAGGACUUGAGUUUAGGGUAUAGAGUUUAGGUUUAUAGUAUAGUUUUUGGGUUUAGGGUAUAUAAUUUGGGUUUAGGGUCUAGGAUUAGGGGUUAGGAUAUAGAGUUUGGGUUUAGGGGUUUGGAUUUGGGUUUAGAAUUUAGGGUAUAGGGUUUAGAAUUUAAGAUUUAUGGUUUAGCUGGAAGUGUUAUCGUCGUUAAAAUUAACGUUUUUAUUUUUUGUAGCUAUUUUUUAUUUAAUUUAAUGUUUUUUAAUUAAUAAUAUAUGUGUCACUUUAAUU
This 415-nucleotide long non-coding RNA is filed under the name Brassica napus (rape). Its description in RNAcentral is "long non-coding RNA (BNAP_LNC024267)". Lineage: Eukaryota; Viridiplantae; Streptophyta; Magnoliopsida; Brassicales; Brassicaceae. The record is from RNAcentral.